UGCCUACGGGAGGCAGCAGUGGGGAAUAUUGCACAAUGGGGGGAACCCUGAUGCAGCGACGCCGCGUGAAGGAAGAAGUAUUUCGGUAUGUAAACUUCUAUCAGCAGGGAAGAAAAAGGACGGUACCUGACUAAGAAGCCCCGGCUAACUACGUGCCAGCAGCCGCGGUAAUACGUAGGGGGCGAGCGUUAUCCGGAUUUACUGGGUGUAAAGGGGGCGCAGACGGCCAUGGCAAGCCCGGUGCGAAAGGUGCGGGCACAACCCGCAGACUGCACUGGUAACUGCCUGGCUGGAGUGCCGGAGGG
Molecule: ribosomal RNA, 305 nt
Filed under: uncultured bacterium
Lineage: Bacteria
Description: bacterial SSU rRNA
Rfam family: Bacterial small subunit ribosomal RNA
Source: RNAcentral